GUUCAACGGCCGCGGUAUCCUAACCGUGCAAAGGUAGCAUAAUCACUUGCCCAUUAAUUGUGGGCUAGAAUGAAAGGACCAACGAAAUAAAGACUGUCUCUAUAAGCAAAUUAAAAAUUAAUCUCUAACUGAAGAGUGUUAGAUUAUGUCGAAGGACAAGAAGACCCUAUAGAGCUUAAUUCUAAUAAAAAUACAUGUUUUAAUAAAAUUCGGUUGGGGCGACCAGGGAAUAAAAAUCAUCCCUAUUCAAAAGAUUUAUAAAUCUUUAAAAUGACCCUUAAACAAGACCAUAAAAACAAGCUACCUUAGGGGUAACAGGCUAAUCCCACUAAAGAGUUCUUAUCAAUAGUGGGGGUUGGCACCUCGAUGUUGGCUUAGGGAAUCUAUACGGCGCAAAAGUCGUAUAAAGAUGGUUUGUUCAACCAAUAACCCCUACAUGAGCUGAGUUCAGACCGGCGUAAGCCAGGUUAGUUUCUAUCCUCGAUAAAAAUACCUAUUUAUAGUACGAAAGGACCUAAAUAAGGGUAACAGUUACAAUAAAAGAAUAAAUAUAAAAAAUUAAUAUUUAGAAGAUUCAUAAACUAUGAUAGUGAGUUGGCAGAAUAGUGCCACAGGUUUA
RNAcentral lists this ribosomal RNA (619 nucleotides) under Eiseniella tetraedra. Its description in RNAcentral is "partial large subunit ribosomal RNA". The stretch from base 1 to 501 matches the Rfam family "Bacterial large subunit ribosomal RNA", at positions 1922 to 2925 of the family's 2925-position model. The record is from RNAcentral. Lineage: Eukaryota; Metazoa; Annelida; Clitellata; Crassiclitellata; Lumbricidae.